This 364-nucleotide ribosomal RNA is filed under the name Lagaropsylla idae. Its description in RNAcentral is "partial 16S ribosomal RNA". Lineage: Eukaryota; Metazoa; Arthropoda; Insecta; Siphonaptera; Ischnopsyllidae. The record is from RNAcentral.
UCUACACCUAAAAAUAAUCUUAAUCCAACAUCGAGGUCGCAAUCUUUUUUAUCGAUAUGUUCUCUCUAAAAAUAUUACGCUGUUAUCCCUUAAGUAACUUAAUCUUUUAAUCAUUAAUAAUGGAUCAAAUCAUAAAUUUAUGAAAAAAAGUUUAUUAAAUUUUCCUAUCACCCCAAUAAAAUAUUAUAUNAAGCUUUAAAGGGUCUUCUCGUCCUCUAAUUAUAUUUAAGCUUUUUAACUUAAAAAUUAAUUUCUAUAACAAUUAAAAUAAGACAGUUAAUAUUUCAUCCAAUCAUUCAUUCCAGCUUCUAAUUAAGAAACUAUUGAUUAUGCUACCUUUGCACAGUCAAAAUACCGCGGCCUU